ACUCUCAGCAACGGAUAUCUUGGCUCUUGCAACGAUGAAGAACGCAGCGAAAUGCGAUACGUAGUGUGAAUUGCAGAAUUCCGCGAAUCAUCGAGUUUUUGAACGCAAGUUGCGCCCGAGGCUCGUCCGAGGGCAUUUCCGCUAGAGCG
Molecule: ribosomal RNA, 149 nt
Filed under: Bryum argenteum
Lineage: Eukaryota; Viridiplantae; Streptophyta; Bryopsida; Bryales; Bryaceae
Description: 5.8S ribosomal RNA
Rfam family: 5.8S ribosomal RNA
About the family: 5.8S ribosomal RNA (5.8S rRNA) is a component of the large subunit of the eukaryotic ribosome. It is transcribed by RNA polymerase I as part of the 45S precursor that also contains 18S and 28S rRNA.
Source: RNAcentral